Molecule: RNA transcript, 3207 nt
Organism: Zalophus californianus (California sea lion)
Lineage: Eukaryota; Metazoa; Chordata; Mammalia; Carnivora; Otariidae
Gene: RAI14
Gene name: retinoic acid induced 14
Exons: 19
Source: RefSeq, a predicted model, not a curated record
CGCUGCCCCCGCCCCGCCGGCCCAGCCCCGGAGCCGCGGCGCCCACUGACCCCCGCAGCGGGGGGAGGAGGAGGGACCGAGGCGCAGGAAGCCGAGCAGGAAGCGAGCCCGGCGGCCGCGUUUUCCUGGGGAAGCGGCGGGCGGAGUGGCGCAGCCGGCGGGGCCCGGGAGCCUCCGCCUCGAUGGGGUGUUGAAAAAUCUCUAGAGCUUUGGAAAGCUGAAUGGACUAAACAUGAAGAGCUUGAAAGCCAAGUUCAGGAAGAGCGAUACCAACGAGUGGAACAAGAAUGAUGACCGGCUGCUACAGGCUGUGGAGAAUGGAGAUGCGGAGAAGGUGGCCUCCCUGCUGGGCAAGAAGGGGGCCAGUGCCACCAAGCAGGACAGCGAGGGCAAGACCGCCUUUCAUCUUGCUGCUACGAAAGGGCAUGUGGAAUGCCUCAGGGUCAUGGUGACACAUGGCGUGGACGUGACUGCCCAAGAUACUGCUGGACACAGUGCUUUGCACCUCGCAGCCAAGAACAGCCACUAUGAAUGCAUCCGUAAGCUCCUUCAGUCUAAAUGCCCAGCCGAAAGCGUUGACAGUUCUGGGAAAACAGCUUUACAUUAUGCAGCGGCACAAGGCUGCCUGCAAGCCGUGCAGGCUCUUUGCGAGCACAAAAGCCCUAUAAACCUCAAGGAUUUGGAUGGGAAUAUACCACUGCUGCUUGCAGUACAAAAUGGCCACAGUGAGGUCUGUCGCUUUCUCCUGGACCACGGAGCAGAUGUAAAUUCCAGGGACAAAAAUGGAAGAACUGCUCUCAUGCUGGCUUGUGAGAUCAGCAGCUCUAAUAUCGUGGAAGCCUUAAUUAAAAAGGGUGCAGACCUAAACCUUGUAGAUUCUCUUGGACACAAUGCCUUACAUUAUUCCAAACUCUCAGAAAAUGCAGGAAUUCAAAGCCUUCUAUUAUCAAAAAUCUCUCAGGAUUCUGAUUUAAAGACACCAACAAAACCAAAGCAGCAUGAUCAAGUCUCUAAACUAAGCUCAGAAAGAAGUGGAACUCCAAAAAAACGCAAAGCUCCACCACCUCCUAUCAGUCCUACCCAGUUGAGUGAUGUGUCUUCCCCAAGAUCAAUAACUUCAACACCACUUUUGGGAAAGGAAUCUGUGUUCUUUGCCGAACCACCCUUCAAGCAGGCUGAGGUCAGUUCUGUCCGGGAAAACAAAGACAGACUAAGUGACAGCACUACAGGUGCUGAUAGCUUAUUGGAUAUAAGUUCUGAAGCUGACCAACAAGAUCUUCUUGUCCUGUUGCAAGCAAAAGUCGCUUCUCUUACCUUACACAAUAAGGAAUUACAGGAUAAAUUACAGGCCAAGUCACCCAAGGAGGCAGAAGCAGACCUGAGCUUUGACUCCUACCAUUCCACUCAAACUGACUUGGCCCCACCCCUGGGCAAACCUAGUGACACCUCUCCGCCAGACUCCAAAUCCUCUCCAUCCGUCUUACCACAUUCCUCGAGUAAAUCCACUUGCGACAGCGAUGGCCGAAUUCAGCAACUACAAGAGAUUUUGCAAGACCUGCAGAAGAGACUGGAGAGCUCUGAAGUGGAGAAGCAGCAGCUCCGGGCCGAGCUCCGGUCCAGAAGGGCCGAAUCGGUGUGCGUAAACAGUGCAGAGAUUUCCGAGAAUGGCUCCGACCUCAGCCAGAAACUGAAAGAAACCCAGAGCAAGUACGAGGAGGCAAUGAAAGAAGUCCUCAACGUGCAGAAGCAAAUGAAACUGGGCCUCGUCUCGCCGGAAAGCGUGGACAGUUAUUCGCGUCUCCGAGAGCUAAGGAUCACCGAGGAGGAAGUAGAUGUGCUAAAGCAGGACCUCCAGAAUGCAGUGGAAGAAAGUGAAAGAAAUAAAGAGAAGGUGAGGGAGUUAGAAGAAAAACUUGUAGAGAGGGAGAAAGGUAUGGUCAUCAAGCCUCCCGUGGAAGAAUACGAGGAAAUGAAAAGUUCAUAUUGCUCUGUUAUUGAGAACAUGAAUAAGGAGAAAGCAUUUUUGUUUGAGAAGUACCAAGAGGCCCAAGAAGAAAUCAUGAAAUUAAAAGAUGCCCUAAAGAGUCAGGCAACCCAGGAGGCCGGGGAUGAAGCCGGGGACAUGAAAGAGGCCAUGAACAGGAUGAUAGAUGAACUCAACAAACAGGUGAGCGAGCUGUCCCAGCUGUACAAAGAAGCCCAGGCGGAGCUGGAGGAUUAUAGGAAGAGGAAAUCUCUAGAAGACGUAACGGCCGACUAUAUCCACAAAGCGGAGCAUGAGAAACUGCUGCAAGUGACGAACGUAUCCAGAGCUAAGGCAGAAGAGGCCCUGUCCGAAAUGAAGUCUCAGUACUCAAAGGUGUUGCAUGAGUUGACCCAGCUCAAACAGCUGGUGGACGCCCAGAAAGAGAACUCCGUCUCCAUCACAGAACAUUUGCAAGUGAUAACCACGCUGCGGGCCACCACCAAAGAGAUGGAGGAAAAAAUAAGCAGUCUCAAAGAGCACCUUGCAAGCAAGGAAGGAGAAGUGGCAAGGCUGGAGAAACAGCUCCUAGAAGAGAAGGCCGCUAUGACGGACGCCAUGGUGCCCAGGUCUGCCUACGCAAAGCUCCAGUCAUCGUUAGAAGGUGAGGUGAGUGUGUUGGCCUCAAAAUUGAAGGAUUCGGUAAAAGAGAAAGAGAAGGCCCAUUCAGAGCUUACCCAGAUAAGAAGUGAGGUGUCACAAAUGAAAAGGGAAAAGGAGAAUAUUCAGGCUCUCUUAAAGGCCAAAGAGCAGGAAGCAAAUGAACUUCGUCAACAAUUCCAGGACACUCAGGAAGAACUGGAAGACCUGAAGAGACAGUCGGAGAGCUCUUCCAAACUGGAGGAGGAUAAAGACAAGAAGAUCAACGAGAUGUCGAAGGAAGUCACCAAGUUGAAGGAGGCCCUGAACAGCCUCUCGCAGCUCUCGUACUCCGCGAGCUCAUCCAAGAGGCAGAGUCAGCAGCUGGAAGCACUGCAGCAGCAGGUCAAACAGCUCCAGAACCAGCUGGCUUCAUUACUGUCUCUGGCAGUGGCAAGAACUUUUUCUUAUUAGGGGCCAGGAUCUCUGAUAGGAAUGCAAGAAACAACACCAGGAGGUCAUAUCUGUUUACAGAAUGCAUCUUCUGUACGCUGUGCAGGGCCAGAUGGACGAAGAUGUCCAGAAAGUACUGAAGCAAAUCCUUA